AUUCAUUUUCUGCCCCAAAUUCCUGGAGAGGCAGUGAGUCCACCUCGCUGAAGAUACAGCCUGUGAGGGGGGACCUUAGGUCCCCGAUGACCCCCCGCGUACGGGGUAGGGUUGGAGGAAAGAGCUGGGGGGACCCGUGAGAACCAGGACAGGAAAGGCACGACUUCUUUAGAGGAAGAGAGCUUUGUCUCCUUAGUUAUCAGAUUUGCUGGGGACCCGGAGACAGGCGAGUUUUCCCUCAGCUAUCCUCUCUCUAUAUAGUCUAUCCUCUAUGUUAACCUCCCGGUCUCUGCCUCUCUCAUUUUCGGUUUAGCGUUAUUUCAUGUACAUCUAACAUCAUGCUCUCUGUGAAAGUACAGCCAUCGUCUCGGAUUCCAGAGAAGAAUGUUCUACUUGUUCCUUGUUUUGCAUAUUCUCUAAUCACACUUAGAAUACCUUGUUUACGUUUUCCAUUUGGUGGCAACAGAUUAUCAGUGUCAAAAUUUGAAUUCAGUGUUAGUGUCCGUGGAAGCCAGGGCUGUAUAACAUGACCUCUUCUUUUGUAUCCUGCAUAACGUCCUUCCUCCCUCUGAAAUGUUGGAACUUCCUAAAUCCCCUGGAGACCUUCUCCCAGUGGGAGGGAUUCAGAUUUGAUCUAGAAAUAUGACACUGGCUGUCACUCUGAAGCUGUGGAGGGGCUGGGUCCAGCAGGAUCAUGGGCUCAAUGUUUCUGGUUCUGUCUUUGCGAAUGACACUAGAGAGUAGGUACCUGGUGUGCAAACACCAUUCCCACUGAAGGAGCAAACAGCUGCCUGCUGAUGACAUUUAAACACCAGAUCACACAUAAAAUCACAUUUCAUUUACUAUAGAAUUUUCUGGUAUUCAGCACUGGGGGAUCUUUCUCUGGAAACAUUAACAGGGCACUUUUUUUUCUCGUCUGGAUUUUCAGUCUUUUAACCUGACACCUUUGUCCCUUUUUCUAGUUUUAGAUAAUGUAUUUUGAUUUGUCAUUAGGUUUUAGAGGGUUUAAGUGUGAUUCUACAAGUUGGUCUCAGACCUCUUUGAGACGUGGAGUAGGAUGGAGGAGAGGAGAAAGGAAUGGCAUCUGCCUGAAGCACAGGGCUCUACACAACCCAGCUCAAGGGAUAAGAGUCCUUGCCCCUAACCAAACACAG
RNAcentral lists this long non-coding RNA (1154 nucleotides) under Homo sapiens (human). RNAcentral's name for it is "non-protein coding lnc-MTHFD2L-4:1". The record is from RNAcentral. Lineage: Eukaryota; Metazoa; Chordata; Mammalia; Primates; Hominidae.